RNAcentral lists this ribosomal RNA (492 nucleotides) under uncultured bacterium. RNAcentral's name for it is "partial 16S ribosomal RNA". It matches the Rfam family "Bacterial small subunit ribosomal RNA", at positions 29 to 507 of the family's 1533-position model. The record is from RNAcentral.
AGUGAACGCUGGCGGUAGGCCUAACACAUGCAAGCCGAACGGCAGCACAGUAAGAGCUUGCUCUUACGGGUGGCGAGUGGCGGACGGGUGCGGAAUACAUCGGAAUCUACUUUUUCGUGGGGGAUAACGUAGGGAAACUUACGCUAAUACCGCAUACGACCUACGGGUGAAAGCAGGGGAUCUUCGGACCUUGCGCGAUUGAAUGAGCCGAUGUCGGAUUAGCUAGUUGGCGGGGUAAAGGCCCACCAAGGCGACGAUCCGUAGCUGGUCUGAGAGGAUGAUCAGCCACACUGGAACUGAGACACGGUCCAGACUCCUACGGGAGGCAGCAGUGGGGAAUAUUGGACAAUGGGCGCAAGCCUGAUCCAGCCAUACCGCGUGGGUGAAGAAGGCCUUCGGGUUGUAAAGCCCUUUUGUUGGGAAAGAAAAGCAGCAGGUUAAUACCCCGCUGUUCUGGCGGUACCCAAAGAAUAAGCUCCGGCUAACUUCGUG